AUUGAACGCUGGCGGCAAGCCUAACACAUGCAAGUCGAACGAGGGGCGGACGGGUGAGUAAUGUCUGGGAAACUGCCUGAUGGAGGGGGAUAACUACUGGAAACGGUAGCUAAUACCGCAUACCAUCGGAUGUGCCCAGAUGGGAUUAGCUAGUAGGGGGGGUAAAGGCUCACCUAGGCGACGAUCCCUAGCUGGUCUGAGAGGAUGACCAGCCACACUGGAACUGAGACACGGUCCAGGCUCCUACGGUAGGCAGCAGAGGGGAAUAUUGCGCAAUGGGCGCAAGCCUGAUGCAGCCAUGCCGCGUGUGUGAAGAAGGCCUUCGGGUUGUAAAGUACUUUCAGCGGGGAUGCGUUACCCGCAGAAGAAGCACCGGCUAACUCCGUGCCAGCCGCCGCGGUAAUUC
This 406-nucleotide ribosomal RNA is filed under the name uncultured bacterium. Its description in RNAcentral is "partial 16S ribosomal RNA". It matches the Rfam family "Bacterial small subunit ribosomal RNA", at positions 30 to 526 of the family's 1533-position model. The record is from RNAcentral.